Molecule: ribosomal RNA, 406 nt
Filed under: uncultured bacterium
Lineage: Bacteria
Description: bacterial SSU rRNA
Rfam family: Bacterial small subunit ribosomal RNA
Source: RNAcentral
AGGGAAUCUUCGGCAAUGGACGAAAGUCUGACCGAGCAACGCCGCGUGAAGGAAGAAGGCUUUCGGGUUGUAAACUUCUUUUACCAGGGACGAAGGACGUGACGGUACCUGGAGAAAAAGCAACGGCUAACUACGUUCCAGCAGCCGCGGUAAUACGUAGGUUGCAAGCGUUGUCCGGAUUUACUGGGUGUAAAGGGCGUGUAGGCGGAGAAGCAAGUUGGGAGUGAAAUCCAUGGGCUCAACCCAUGAACUGCUCUCAAAACUGUUUCCCUUGAGUAUCGGAGAGGCAAGCGGAAUUCCUAGUGUAGCGGUGAAAUGCGUAGAUAUUAGGAGGAACACCAGUGGCGAAGGCGGCUUGCUGGACGACAACUGACGCUGAGGCGCGAAAGCGUGGGGAGCAAACAGG